This 76-nucleotide transfer RNA is filed under the name Bacillota bacterium. RNAcentral's name for it is "tRNA-Ala". It matches the Rfam family "tRNA". Rfam says of the family: Transfer RNA (tRNA) molecules are approximately 80 nucleotides in length. RNAcentral also lists the same sequence under 1 other name. The record is from RNAcentral. Lineage: Bacteria; Bacillati; Bacillota.
GGGGAUGUAGCUCAGUUGGGAGAGCGCGUGAAUGGCAUUCACGAGGUCAGGGGUUCGAUUCCCCUCAUCUCCACCA